AAAAAGAACACCACACCGACUUCCUGGUUAAGGAAUCCUUGGGCAAGAGAAACAACCACCAACCUGAGAAACAAAUAGCAAGCAAGCAAUAGGGACGAUGACGAUGAGGCUGUCUUCCAUAGCUUUGUGGCUCUCAUCCUUGUUGAUUCUCUCGACUGUGUCUUAUGUCUUUUCUGCACCUCGUUCGCUGCUUCAGAGAUUGUCCGAAAGCAACAAGUACUUGACCACUGAAGAGCUCUGGUUCAAUCAGAUUCUCGAUCACUAUUCUCCUCAUGAUCACCGUCAGUUUAAGCAGCGAUACUAUGAAUUUCUUGAGUAUUUCAGAGUUCCAGAUGGACCCAUUUUUUUGAAAAUUUGUGGUGAAUCUUCAUGCAAUGGCAUAGCCAAUGACUACCUCAGUGUUUUGGCUAAAAAGUUUGGAGCAGCCAUUGUUUCACUUGAGCAUCGUUAUUAUGGUAAAAGCACACCGUUCAAAUCUACUGAGACAAAGAAUUUGAGAUAUCUUUCAUCCAAGCAGGCGCUUUUUGACUUGGCUGUUUUCCGUCAGCAUUUUCAGGAAUCACUAAACUUGAAGCUCAAUAGAACAAAUGUGGAAAAUCCAUGGUUUGUUUUUGGAAUAUCGUACUCUGGAGCUCUCAGUGCAUGGUUUCGUCUUAAGUUUCCACAUUUAACAUGUGGAAGUCUUGCAAGUUCUGCAGUUGUUCAUGCUGUUUACAACUUCACUGAAUUUGAUCAGCAGAUUGGUGAGUCAGCUGGUGCUGAAUGUAAAGCUGCAUUACAAGAAAGUACUCGACUUGUAGAAGAAAGGCUGGCAUCAAACAGAAAUGCAGUAAAAACAUUAUUUGAUGCAGCUGAGCUUGAAAUCGAUGGUGAUUUCCUGUAUUUCCUGGCAGAUGCAGCUGUUACAGCAUUUCAAUAUGGGAAUCCAGAUAAAUUAUGCUCCCCUCUUGUUGAAGCAAAGAAGGCUGGAAAGGAUUUAGUGGAAGCUUAUGCCAAAUAUGUUAAAGAGUGCUACAUGGGAAGUUUUGGCGUCAGUGUUCAAACAUAUAAUCAAAAAAAUUUGAAAGACACUGCUGUUACUGAAAAUAGUUCUGAUCGGUUAUGGUGGUUCCAAGUUUGCACUGAAGUUGCAUUUUUUCAAGUGGCACCCUCAAAUGACAGUAUUCGCUCCUCAAAAGUUGACACUAGGCACUUUUUUAAUCCUUAAUGUUCUGUAUGUUCCAUAUAUGUUUAGAUUCUCUAUAUGUCUAGCAUAUAUAUUAAACAAAAAAAACAGUAGUGUUUGGCUUACUAUACUCCUUUUCUAUCUACAAAAUUGUUAUUCAUGUUGCAGAUACCAUUUGGACCUAUGUAAGAAUGUUUUUGGCGAAGGCAUAUAUCCUGAGGUUGAUGUAACAAAUAUAUACUAUGGGGGCACAAAAAUUGCAGGUCCAGAUGUUGACCAUUUUAUGUUGUUUUAUUCAUUUAUUUAUUUUACUUUUUGUGUCAAAAUAUAUGUAUUGUUCACCGUGCAUGUUCGUCUUAUUUCUGUGUACCAUGUUGGAUGGCUUGUGAUGUAAUUUCUCGCUUUUUUUAAAACAACUAGUUAAGUUUUGAAACGAAAAUUAAAUCCCUGGGUAUUAGACCAAGUUCUUGUUUCCUGAUAAAUGUGUUAUAUCUGCUGAAGAAUAAACUAGUAAAUACUUCAGAAAGAAAGGAUUCUAGUGUGAAGCAUUGGAAGCUUUGUAAGAUAAAAAUUGUGUUGCAUUUAAGUGGAAAAAUUAUUAGUUAUAAAUAUGCUGUUGAUCUUCACUAUAUCGUUGUUGCCUUAACAAAACCACCAUAAAUAUUUGCAUUUAUGAUAGCUUUUGUAUCUUUGCAGGCUCCAAAAUUGUUUUUACAAAUGGUUCCCAAGAUCCUUGGCGUCAUGCAUCAAAACAGAUUUCAUCUCCUGAUAUGCCUUCAUACGUAAUCACUUGUCAUAAUUGUGGUCAUGGUACUGAUUUGCGAGGAUGUCCCCAAGCUCCUUUGAGCCUUGAAGGUAAUGCCCAGAACUGCAGUUCCCCAGAAGCAGUUCACAAAGUAAGGCAGCAGGUCACUGAACAAAUAGACUUGUGGCUGUCUGAGUGCCAUGCCAGUGAUGUUAAGUAGCUCAUCUGAAGGAAUUCAAGCAGACUUCUGUAGCGUAGGUUUUGUUAUGGACUUAUGUAUCAUUUCCUCUAUAAAGGAAUUUGAUUAGAUUUCCAGAGCACCCUGUUUAGGUGUUGUUAUGGUGCAGAAUGAAAGAACACUUCUAGGCGGACCUUUUGCAUGUCCAUAUAAUCUUUACAAUCAAAAUUCCUGUUCAAGUAAUCAUUUCUGGUGCCUCCCAGGAACCAGAAACAGCCAUUCUAAUUGAUCCUUGAGGCUUUCCGUCCAACCAAUACUGCACAACAUCAUUUAUGUGUUGCAUUUAUUUUUCUCAUUGCUGAUCAUAUGUAUAGAACUCAGCUCCAGGAUUACCCACGAUAUAUUAGAACCAGCUUAGGGAUUUAAUACAGUACAAUAGAUUUUUCGGAUUCGGAAGCAUGUCUUAUACAUUGCAGGAUUCUGUCAAAACAAUGGGUAUUUGCAGUUAGGUCAGACUCCUUUAUGGCUUUAACCAGCUAUUUGCGGGUGAAAAGUCCUUGUUUGGAAAUUGGAAUGAACUUCUGAAUCACAUCACAGUGGUUAUAGUCUAGUGGUAAAAAUGUACUUCGUUGUAUUAACUUUAAUAAUUAAGGGGUAAAAGGCCUCUCCCCUUUUUUAUUUUCAGUUAACUGUAUUGCAUUUCCAAGCUUACUAAAAGUCCACUUGUACCACAGAAACUUCCAUAAACAUUUGGAACUGCACAUUUCAUGCAUUGCUUUUUUAGGUACCCUACCCCGAUUAAGUCCCAGGUAACAAUUGCAUUACAAAGACAAUCUAUACACGCAUCCUCAAAAACAUGAACAUCCUAUAAACAAAAGCAGUCUCCAUAGGCUACAAGAAUACAUAAUGAUUUUUCCCUCUUGAUUAUGAACUAUCCUCAUCAACAUCAGUUCUUCUAUACCACCUAGUAAACAUAGCUCUUCACAAACAUUCCUUUUUGGCUUCCUCAGACUCCCCCUCGCCAGUGUAUUUUCCAAGCUGAGCAAGAGAAUUGGCCUUUGCUCGGACAAGCCUUCACAUUCUCAUCUCUACCUCCCCAUGUCUUCAGGCAAGUAUUUUGAAGGGCUCUUGCAUAUAAGAACGAUACGUGCCAUGGGUUGGGAGCUUGGUUCAUUGCAUUCAAGUUCAGGGUUGCCUCCACUUCAGAUUGGAAUGUAUGUAUAUGAUGUACUCUAGGUCCACUUAUGUUUGAACAUGUUUAAUCACUUGCCAUGAUUCCUGGGACAGAUGGGGGAAUUCUUCGGUGGAGGAGCUUGAGAGUGUAAUCAGCAACCUGUUGAGGUGUGGCCUUAUCCUUGCACUCUGCACCAGGAGUGACCAUGCUGGGCUUCAGGAGAAUGCAUUCAAACAUGACAUUGUUCUCAGCAAGAUAGUAGAACACCUCAGCCCAAACCUUCUGAGCUAUCCAAAGGUCCUGUCAUCAUGGUCACCGUCAAGCAAGAUCUCAGGCUCUACAAUUGGGACCAAGCCAUUGUCCUGAGAAAUUGCAGCAUAGCGAGCUAGACCCCAGGCUGCUUCCUUCGCUGCAAG
RNAcentral lists this unclassified non-coding RNA (3678 nucleotides) under Hevea brasiliensis (rubber tree). Lineage: Eukaryota; Viridiplantae; Streptophyta; Magnoliopsida; Malpighiales; Euphorbiaceae. The record is from RNAcentral.